UACGUAGGGACCGAGCGUUGUCCGGAAUCAUUGGGCGUAAAGAGCGUGUAGGCGGCCAUUUAAGUCCUGCGUGAAAUCCUGCGGCUCAACCGCAGGCGGUCGUGGGAAACUGGAUGGCUAGAGUGCGGGAGAGGAGAGUGGAAUUCCUGGUGUAGCGGUGGAAUGCGCAGAUAUCAGGAAGAACACCCGGUGGCGAAGGCGGCUCCUCGUGGAACGCAACUGACGCUGAGACGGCGAAAGCGUGGGGAGCAAACAGG
RNAcentral lists this ribosomal RNA (257 nucleotides) under uncultured bacterium. RNAcentral describes it as "partial 16S ribosomal RNA". It matches the Rfam family "Bacterial small subunit ribosomal RNA", at positions 524 to 776 of the family's 1533-position model. The record is from RNAcentral.